This 596-nucleotide long non-coding RNA is filed under the name Ovis aries (sheep). RNAcentral's name for it is "lncRNA (ENSOARG00000025852.1)". The record is from RNAcentral. Lineage: Eukaryota; Metazoa; Chordata; Mammalia; Artiodactyla; Bovidae.
UGAGCAUCUAUUAUGUGAAAACACAGUAACAGUAGUUCAUCUUUUGAUAUGAGUACAUAAUUGCCAUUCAGUAAGUGAUUUGGCUAAUUAAGUUAUUGUUUUUUCUUACUAUCUGAGAAAAUUUCUCUCUACAGAAAAGCAUAUUUAUAAACUGAUAUGACUGAUUAACAUUUGCCACAUGACAAACAAAAUAUUUCCCCCUUUCUGUCCAAGGAAAGAAUACCUCAGGCUCCCUGCAUUGAUUUGGGAGAAGAAUAACUUCCCACAUUUCCAAGCCCAGUUUCUACAAAUGAGGUUUAAAAAAAAAAGAAGUGGGAGAUUUGAGUUUACAUUUUCUUGUCAUCAAGAUGGAAAGUAUUGUUUUUUAUUAGAAAAGACCCUGAUGCUGGGAAAGAUUGAAGACAAGAGGAGAAGACGGGGACAACAGAGGAUGAGAUGUUUGGAUGUCAUCACUGACUCAAUGGACAUGAGUUUGAGCAAGCUCCAGGUGAUGGUGAAGGACAGGGAAGCCUGGCGUGUUCUAGUUCAUGGGAUCACAAAGAGUUAGAUGUGACUGAAAAGCUGAACAACAAUUGGUUUUUAUUAUUUAAAAUAAC